GCACGUUUGGCCGAGUUGGUCUAAGGCGUGGGUCUCAAGUUCCCAUCUCUUCGGAGGCAUCGGUUCGAAUCCGGUAGCGUGCA
Non-coding RNA from Gaertneriomyces semiglobifer, 83 nucleotides. Lineage: Eukaryota; Fungi; Chytridiomycota; Chytridiomycetes; Spizellomycetales; Spizellomycetaceae. The record is from the annotation of a GenBank genome assembly.